AUAUUCUGACAUUUCUAAUGUACUUUCAGGUUGUAGCCUUCCCAAUACUAAAUCAGCUGGGAGAGAAACAUGCCUACCGAACAUCAUCUCACAUGGACUUACGCCAGUUGACUCGUGCUGGGCUGACCUAUAAGCUAACAUGAGCAAGGGUGCCUUUUGUUUCGACCUAGUUUCAACAACUGAACACUUUUGUGUAGAUUCUUCAGAUAUGGGAGACAUGGCUGCUGAGAUACCUUCUGUGGGAGCAGGGACUUUCCCGUUAUCCGCAAUGGAUCCAGCGGGACUGAAAAUUUGCUGACCUAUGGGUUUGAAAGUGACUUCCCCGGACUCUUCUAAAUCUGACAUUUCUGUGACUUUUUUUUUUUU
Long non-coding RNA from Saccostrea cuccullata (small rock oyster), 366 nucleotides. RefSeq lists it as uncharacterized. NCBI's taxonomy places the organism in Eukaryota, Metazoa, Mollusca, Bivalvia, Ostreida, Ostreidae. The record is from RefSeq and is a predicted model, not a curated record. The transcript is spliced from 3 exons.